CUGCAGUCUUGUACCGUCUUUGUGUGUCUGGGUGUUUCUUUCUGUGUUCAUCCCCCGUUCUGCAAUCGGGCCGCAACAAGUGGUGCAGCGAGCAGGGUCUGUGUCAUUCAGGACGGAGGGACCGAAGAGGCACCUUUUUGGCCAUCGGGGUGAAAGUGAAGGAAAGUACUUUGAAACAAUUAUUUGCUCUGGUGCAGCAACAUUGUUAUUGGUUUCGAUGUCAGUCAGAAGUGCAACUAAAUCUUUAUACCUGGCAGCAAGUAAUUAAGGCCUUUCGCGUCGCCCACCAGCAAGGUCAGACUAUUGACUUAAAAAAUUUGGACCAUCUGCAGCGUGAUCACUCAGGCAUUACGUUUGUUGCAGACAGAAUCAGAAAAGGCUUAUGCGGGUGAAGAACCUGAAAAGGAGCCCUUGCCAUCCCGGGCCCCUUCCCCCGAAGAGUUCGGGGAUGGGGAGGAGCUACCAGAUUAAGGAUCCUCCUGAUGAACUGCCCACUCGUGCAGAUAUAUGAGAAUUAAUUUCUUUGCUUAAGAAGAAUAAGGUGACUCCCCCUCACACUGCAGGCGCUCAAUGAGUAUUUGUUAAAUGAAUCAAAAUGGA
Lemur catta (Ring-tailed lemur) is the source of this 600-nucleotide long non-coding RNA. RefSeq lists it as uncharacterized. NCBI's taxonomy places the organism in Eukaryota, Metazoa, Chordata, Mammalia, Primates, Lemuridae. The record is from RefSeq and is a predicted model, not a curated record. The transcript has 2 exons.